AAAUUGAAGAGUUUGAUCAUGGCUCAGAUUGAACGCUGGCGGCAGGCCUAACACAUGCAAGUCGAACGGUAACAGGAAGCAGCUUGCUGCUUCGCUGACGAGUGGCGGACGGGUGAGUAAUGUCUGGGAAACUGCCUGAUGGAGGGGGAUAACUACUGGAAACGGUAGCUAAUACCGCAUAAUGUCGCAAGACCAAAGAGGGGGACCUUCGGGCCUCUUGCCAUCGGAUGUGCCCAGAUGGGAUUAGCUUGUUGGUGGGGUAACGGCUCACCAAGGCGACGAUCCCUAGCUGGUCUGAGAGGAUGACCAGCCACACUGGAACUGAGACACGGUCCAGACUCCUACGGGAGGCAGCAGUGGGGAAUAUUGCACAAUGGGCGCAAGCCUGAUGCAGCCAUGCCGCGUGUAUGAAGAAGGCCUUCGGGUUGUAAAGUACUUUCAGCGGGGAGGAAGGGAGUAAAGUUAAUACCUUUGCUCAUUGACGUUACCCGCAGAAGAAGCACCGGCUAACUCCGUGCCAGCAGCCGCGGUAAUACGGAGGGUGCAAGCGUUAAUCGGAAUUACUGGGCGUAAAGCGCACGCAGGCGGUUUGUUAAGUCAGAUGUGAAAUCCCCGGGCUCAACCUGGGAACUGCAUCUGAUACUGGCAAGCUUGAGUCUCGUAGAGGGGGGUAGAAUUCCAGGUGUAGCGGUGAAAUGCGUAGAGAUCUGGAGGAAUACCGGUGGCGAAGGCGGCCCCCUGGACGAAGACUGACGCUCAGGUGCGAAAGCGUGGGGAGCAAACAGGAUUAGAUACCCUGGUAGUCCACGCCGUAAACGAUGUCGACUUGGAGGUUGUGCCCUUGAGGCGUGGCUUCCGGAGCUAACGCGUUAAGUCGACCGCCUGGGGAGUACGGCCGCAAGGUUAAAACUCAAAUGAAUUGACGGGGGCCCGCACAAGCGGUGGAGCAUGUGGUUUAAUUCGAUGCAACGCGAAGAACCUUACCUGGUCUUGACAUCCACAGAACCCUGUAGAGAUACGGGGGUGCCUUCGGGAACUGUGAGACAGGUGCUGCAUGGCUGUCGUCAGCUCGUGUUGUGAAAUGUUGGGUUAAGUCCCGCAACGAGCGCAACCCUUAUCCUUUGUUGCCAGCGGUCCGGCCGGGAACUCAAAGGAGACUGCCAGUGAUAAACUGGAGGAAGGUGGGGAUGACGUCAAGUCAUCAUGGCCCUUACGACCAGGGCUACACACGUGCUACAAUGGCGCAUACAAAGAGAAGCGACCUCGCGAGAGCAAGCGGACCUCAUAAAGUGCGUCGUAGUCCGGAUUGGAGUCUGCAACUCGACUCCAUGAAGUCGGAAUCGCUAGUAAUCGUGGAUCAGAAUGCCACGGUGAAUACGUUCCCGGGCCUUGUACACACCGCCCGUCACACCAUGGGAGUGGGUUGCAAAAGAAGUAGGUAGCUUAACCUUCGGGAGGGCGCUUACCACUUUGUGAUUCAUGACUGGGGUGAAGUCGUAACAAGGUAACCGUAGGGGAACCUGCGGUUGGAUCACCUCCUUA
Molecule: ribosomal RNA, 1542 nt
Filed under: Escherichia coli
Lineage: Bacteria; Pseudomonadati; Pseudomonadota; Gammaproteobacteria; Enterobacterales; Enterobacteriaceae
Description: bacterial SSU rRNA
Rfam family: Bacterial small subunit ribosomal RNA
Source: RNAcentral